This 301-nucleotide long non-coding RNA is filed under the name Struthio camelus australis. RNAcentral's name for it is "lncRNA (ENSSCUG00000016447.1)". The record is from RNAcentral. Lineage: Eukaryota; Metazoa; Chordata; Aves; Struthioniformes; Struthionidae.
CUAAUCCUUAUUCUGUUUGUACUUCCUGAGAGGAGGAAGGAAAUACUGGCUGCACACAGCAGAUGUGGAAGAACUCUUACAGACUGCCAGUGCCUGGCUUAGAUGCAAAGAAUUCGUCUUGUGAUCUUCCAGCCUGGAACAUUGCACUGGAUAAAACUGUUUGGAUGUUAACCAGCAAGAGAUCCACUCCCUUCACUGCUCCUAAAUGUUAUUUACGAAGUCACUGAACAAUCCAGGACUAAGAAAAGAUCUUUCUACCAACUUUUCUGCUCGCUUAAUAUUAUGAACUGGUAUGAAUCUC